CUCUUAACAGCUAGCCCAGCAGAAGGACACAACAACCCACAUUAACUUAUUCCGAAUCAACAACAUUUGACCCAAACAAACCAUUUUUCCCCCUCAGUAUGGGAGACAGAAAAGGGCUUCAGGCGCUAUAGAGAAAGUACCGUAAGGGAAUGCUGAAAGAGGACUGAAACAACUCAUAAAAGAACAAAGAAGCAGAGACUAACCCUCGUACCUUUUGCAUCAUGAUUUAGCAAGUAAACCCAAGCAAAGAGCACUUAAGUUUGACCCCCCGAAACUGGACGAGCUACUCCAAGACAACCUAUUAGGGUGCACCCGUCUCUGUGGCAAAAGAGUGGGAAGAGCUUUGAGUAGAGGUGACAGACCUACCGAGCCCAGUAAUAGCUGGUUGCCUGGGAAUUGAAUAGAAGUUCAGCCUUUUAUAUUCUCCGACCACCCGCAGACAAAUCUUCAUUGCAGGACACGAGUACAUCAAAAGAGAUAUUCGAGGGAGGGACAGCUCCCUCGAACGUAGAUACAACUUUUUCAGAAGGCCAAAGACUAGAAGAUAAAAGGGAAGUACUGAAGUGGGCCUAAAAGCAGCCAUCUUAACAGAAAGCGUUAAAGCUCAAGUAUUUGUCUCCUAUAAUACCAGCCACCGAAUCUUAAGCCACUAUUUAUACCAGGCCCUCCUAUGCCUCCAUGGGAGCGAAACUGCUAAUAUGAGUAAUAAGAGACCCAGACUCUCUCCCCGCCCCCGUGUAACCAGAACACACUACUCACUGAAAAUUAACGCCCCCAUAGAGGGUACUAGGACAUCCUCUAGAUUAGACCAGAUAUGCCCCCAAUUGAUAAGCGUUGACCCUACACUGGAGGGCAAAAGGAAAGACUAAAGGAAAAAAAAGGAACUCGGCAAACAACAGCCUCGCCUGUUUACCAAAAACAUCGCCUCCUGCCAAACCAGUAUAGGAGGUCCCGCCUGCCCUGUGACGAGAGUUUAACGGCCGCGGUAUUUUGACCGUGCGAAGGUAGCGUAAUCACUUGUCUUUUAAAUGGAGACCUGUAUGAAUGGCAUAACGAGGGCUAAGCUGUCUCUUUUUUCCAGUCAAUGAAAUUGAUCUGCCCGUGCAGAAGCGGGCAUUUUAACAUAAGACGAGAAGACCCUAUGGAGCUUUAGACGAGGAGCCGACUGCAUUUAAUACCCGCCGUAAACCGGAACAAAGUAAGCAGGUCCCGCUCUUGUGUCUUCGGUUGGGGCGACCACGGAGGAUGACCAAACCCCCGGGAGGAAUGGGAUACCACCCCUGAGAAGAGAGCUACUGCUCUAUUCACCAGAACAUCUGACCACCUGAUCCGGCAAUGCCGAUCAACGGACCCAGUUACCCUAGGGAUAACAGCGCAAUCCUCUUUUAGAGUCCCUAUCGACAAGAGGGUUUACGACCUCGAUGUUGGAUCAGGACAUCCUAAUGGUGCAGCCGCUAUUAAGGGUUCGUUUGUUCAACGAUUAAAGUCCU
Molecule: ribosomal RNA, 1490 nt
Filed under: Aruma histrio
Lineage: Eukaryota; Metazoa; Chordata; Actinopteri; Gobiiformes; Gobiidae
Description: partial 16S ribosomal RNA
Rfam family: Bacterial large subunit ribosomal RNA
Source: RNAcentral